AUGCCUGAGGGGGUCAACGACACUUCCAUUGUUCUUAUCCCGAAGGUAGACAAACCAGAGCGGCUGACAGAAUACAGACCAAUAAACUUGUGCAAUGUCAUUUACAAGGUUGUGGCUAAAUGUUUGGUUAACCGGCUCUGCCCCAUUUUGGAUGAAAUUAUUUCGCCAGAGCAGAGUGCCUUCGUCCCUGGGAGGAUGAUUACUGAUAAUGCAUUGGUGGCCUUUGAGUGCAUUUAUUCUAUUCAGCAGGAGAAGAAGCCGGAAAACAGUUUUUGUGCCUAUAAACUUGACCUCUCCAAAGCAUAUGAUAGGGUGGAUUGGAUCUUCUUGGAGCGAAUGAUGAUAAAGUUGGGUUUUGCUCGCCGUUGGGUGGACUGA
This 378-nucleotide ribosomal RNA is filed under the name Triticum aestivum (bread wheat). RNAcentral describes it as "partial small subunit ribosomal RNA". The record is from RNAcentral. Lineage: Eukaryota; Viridiplantae; Streptophyta; Magnoliopsida; Poales; Poaceae.